This 465-nucleotide ribosomal RNA is filed under the name uncultured bacterium. RNAcentral describes it as "partial 16S ribosomal RNA". It matches the Rfam family "Bacterial small subunit ribosomal RNA", at positions 28 to 507 of the family's 1533-position model. The record is from RNAcentral.
GACGAACGCUGGCGGCGUGCUUAACACAUGCAAGUCGAACGGAAAGGCCCCUUUGGGGGUACUCGAGUGGCGAACGGGCGAGUAACACGUGAGUAACCUGCCCUUGACUUCGGGAUAACUUCAGGAAACUGGGGCUAAUACCGGAUAGGAAUCCUUGCUGCAUGGUGGGGGUUGGAAAGCUUCGGCGGUUUGGGAUGGACUCGCGGCUUAUCAGCUUGUUGGUGGGGUAGUGGCUUACCAAGGCUUUGACGGGUAGCCGGCCUGGGAGGGCGACCGGCCACAUUGGGACUGGGAUACGGCCCAGACUCCUACGGGAGGCAGGAGUGGGGAAUAAUGCACAAUGGGCGGAAGCCUGAUGCAGCAACGCCGCGUGCGGGAUGACGGCCUUCGGGUUGUAAACCGCUUUCAGCAGGGGCGAAGCUUGUGGUGACGGUACCUGCAGAAGAAGCACCGGCUAACUACGUG